GACGAACGCUGGCGGCGUGCCUAACACAUGCAAGUCGAACGGGGUGUUCCUUCGGGGACACUUAGUGGCGAACGGGUGAGUAACGCGUGAGAAACCUGCCUUUCAGUGGGGGACAACAGUUGGAAACGACUGCUAAUACCGCAUGACACUUUAGUACCGCAUGGUACAGAAGUCAAAGCUUAAUGUGCUGAAAGAUGGUCUCGCGUCUGAUUAGCUAGAUGGCGGGGUAACGGCCCACCAUGGCGACGAUCAGUAGCCGGUCUGAGAGGAUGAACGGCCACAUUGGGACUGAGAUACGGCCCAGACUCCUACGGGAGGCAGCAGUGGGGAAGUAUUGGGCAAUGGGGGAAACCCUGACCCAGCAACGCCGCGUGAAGG
RNAcentral lists this ribosomal RNA (378 nucleotides) under uncultured bacterium. RNAcentral's name for it is "bacterial SSU rRNA". It matches the Rfam family "Bacterial small subunit ribosomal RNA", at positions 28 to 407 of the family's 1533-position model. The record is from RNAcentral.